Molecule: ribosomal RNA, 265 nt
Filed under: uncultured prokaryote
Description: partial 16S ribosomal RNA
Rfam family: Bacterial small subunit ribosomal RNA
Source: RNAcentral
UACGGAGGAUCCGAGCGUUAUCCGGAUUUAUUGGGUUUAAAGUGUGCGCAGGCGGGAGAUUAAGUCGGCGGUGAAAUUUUGCAGCUCAACUGUAAAAGUGCCUUCGAUACUGGUUUCCUUGAGUGUGGAUGAAGUAGGCGGAAUUUGUGGUGUAUCGGUGAAAUGCUUAGAUAUCACGAGGAACUCCGAUUGCGCAGGCAGCUUACUAAACCACUACUGACGCUCAGGCACGAAGGCGUGGGGAUCAAACAGGAUUAGAUACCCU